AUUUCUCUCCCCUUUUGGUGCAAUUUUCCUUUUCAGGGUUUAAAAAAAAAAAAAAAAAAAAUUCUACACAAUGCUGGUUUAGUAGUUAAGAGAAUUGAAAUAUUUAGACCAAAAUAACGGAGGAUGCCAGACCAUUCCAAACUGUUUCUGUUCACUGAUUAGCCCCGAUUUGGGUUUUUGAGUCAGCGUUUGAGUGGAUUGUUGUGAUAACAUUAUGACCUAUGUUUCAUGAAGCCUUGACCAAGGCAGUCAUUCUUGCAUAGUGGAAACAAUGAAAUGAAUAGGGGCACCUGAUCACUAUUUUCUGCUACAAACUUCCGUGCAAAGGUGUGAAAAUCAGAUGUAGAAACACAGUGCUGUUAUAUGCUGGAUGUAACGAUAACUUGGUUAUUCAUGUGGAGUUGCAAAGAGCUAGUAUGUAGCUCCAAAAUGUUGAAUAAAUAGGUUGAUUUUUAAAUCCAGUGCCACUGUAUUCUGUUUCUACAGAAUAUUACUAAACCUCCUCUCUCCCCAGAUGAAACCAUUAUGAUGAUUUAUCAGGACUUUGGUUUUAAACAAAUGGCUUAAAUGUUUGGGAGCAUGUAGCCCAUAAUAGUUGGAACCAAAUGAUUUGUUGAGAUAUAUAAAUCAUCCUCUAUAUAAAUUCCUGUAUGGUUUUGGUUAUUCACCACGAAAGAUCUGUAUUUUUAGUCUAAGGGUACUUUAGGAAAAUAUUUUUACUUAAAGUCUUUUAACAAAAAUAGUGUUGACAGUGUGUAGUUUAACUUGGAUCUGGUGAUCAAGGGAAUAUAUUUUUUAAUUAUUUUCUUGCCUUUUUUUAACAUUAUGCAGUACCUUAUUUGAGAGGAGAACUUCUAUUAUAAGGUGAUGUUAUAAGGCCAUAAUCACUAACUUAGGCAUCUCAGAUGUUUGAACCACUCCUAAUACCCAGCAAACCUAGUUACAAAAUGUUUGUUGUGCCAAUGUUUAAAAUGAUUCAGCCAAUGCAUAAAAACUGGAAAAAAAUUAUACUUUACCAUCUUUUGAUGUUUACAGUGUGAAGCAGUGCCUUUAAGCCCCUAAAGGUUAUCUCCAUCUUUUGUAUCCUGACUUGUCUGCUUCUUUAUUUUAAAGAGACAAUAUGCAUUUAGACUUUUAUGCCUCUACUUUCUGCGACAUGGUUCUAAGAUUUUUUUUUUUUUUUUUUUUCAACUACUUAAAUUUCUAAGAAGUGUUGCAGAAGAAAUACAUAUUUACUUUAAUAUGUAGAACUGCCAGUGGGCCAGUACGGUGCUUAUUUCACAUAAACGCAUAUUGUAAUACAGCAGUUAAUUGUUGUGUUCUGUAACACAACCCAAAAUCUUUCCCUCAAUUCUUCCAUGUUCUCCAUUCUGCAGUCUUGUUCAUCAUGCUUUUCAGCACAGGGCAUUUGUGAGAAUAUAGUAAAUUUCUCUUUAGAAUCUGUAGUACUCUUUCAGACCGCCAGGUAACUCUGCCCUAGAACUAGUUUCAUUUAAAACUCUGUGUUGGAGACCUGUUUAACAUGACAUUACUUUUUCAUUCUGUGUGUAUUGAAUUUUAAUCACUGACUUUAUUUAGUGAAGGAUACAGUCUCUGAAGUCUGUCACAUUGUUUUAAACAAAGACUUAAAGGGUUAUCCACUAAAGUGAAUAUUUGUGAGAAUUAAAAGUAAGUUUUAAAUUAAGGCCCAAAAUAGUUUAACUGGAAUCAUUCUCAAUGUCAGCUCUGCUACCAGUGCAGUCUGUAACUUGAAAUUCACUUUGAAUUCUUGUAUUACCUGACUAUUUUCACGUUGGUAAAUAACCCUGCUAAUCCCAAACAGAUACUUUUCAAUGAGUAUUUUUUUUUUAAACAGAUUUUUCUUAACUUUAAUAGGAAAUACUAGAUUGGUGCAUUAUUUCUCAGCUAAUCUAAAGGAAGAACUGACCACUGCAUCAGUGUCUAGUAGAUUUACUAAAAGGGCUUUAGUAUCGUAGGUAUAAAAUUAGGAUUGAGGUAUCCCGCAAUGUUGUUCCUCUAAAAAAAAAAAAAAGGUUCUAAAACUACGAUCAUAUUGAAUUUCACACACUGGAUGGGAUAAUAAAGUAUUAAAGUCAUAUCCCUAUUAAAUGAG
This is a non-coding RNA of Pelobates cultripes (western spadefoot toad), 2113 nucleotides long. The record is from the annotation of a GenBank genome assembly. Lineage: Eukaryota; Metazoa; Chordata; Amphibia; Anura; Pelobatidae.